RNAcentral lists this ribosomal RNA (300 nucleotides) under Oscillospiraceae bacterium. RNAcentral describes it as "partial 16S ribosomal RNA". It matches the Rfam family "Bacterial small subunit ribosomal RNA", at positions 1 to 299 of the family's 1533-position model. The record is from RNAcentral. Lineage: Bacteria; Bacillati; Bacillota; Clostridia; Eubacteriales; Oscillospiraceae.
UUAAUAAAGAGUUUGAUCCUGGCUCAGGACGAACGCUGGCGGCACGCUUAACACAUGCAAGUCGAACGGACUUUAGGUGCUUGCACCGAAGAGUUAGUGGCGGACGGGUGAGUAACACGUGAGCAACCUGCCUUUAAGAGGGGAAUAACGUUUGGAAACGAACGCUAAUACCGCAUAAUAUAUUUGUAUCGCAUGGUAUAAAUAUCAAAGAUUUAUCGCUUAAAGAUGGGCUCGCGUCUGAUUAGCUAGUUGGUGAGGUAACGGCCCACCAAGGCGACGAUCAGUAGCCGGACUGAGAGG